CUACGGGGGGCUCCAGUGAGGAAUAUUGCACAAUGGGGGGAACCCUGAUGCAGCAACGCCGCGUGGAGGAUGACGCAUUUCGGUGUGUAAACUCCUUUUAUAUGUCAAGAAAAUGACGGUAGCAUAUGAAUAAGCACCGGCUAACUCCGUGCCAGCAGCCGCGGUAAUACGGAGGGUGCAAGCGUUACUCGGAAUCACUGGGCGUAAAGGACGCGUAGGCGGGCUUGUAAGUCAGGUGUGAAAUCCUACAGCUUAACUGUAGAACUGCACUGGAAACUACGAGCCUAGAGUAUGGGAGGGGGAGAUGGAAUUUGUGGUGUAGGGGUAAAAUCCGUAGAUAUCACUAGGAAUACCUAAAGCGAAGGCGAUCUCCUGGAACAUAACUGACGCUAAGGCGUGAAAGCGUGGGGAGCAAACAGGAUUAGAUACCCUAGUAGUC
This 439-nucleotide ribosomal RNA is filed under the name uncultured bacterium. RNAcentral describes it as "partial 16S ribosomal RNA". It matches the Rfam family "Bacterial small subunit ribosomal RNA", at positions 339 to 795 of the family's 1533-position model. The record is from RNAcentral.